GACGAACGCUGGCGGCGUGCUUAACACAUGCAAGUCGAACGAAGAGCGAUGGAAGCUUGCUUCUAUCAAUCUUAGUGGCGAACGGGUGAGUAACGCGUAAUCAACCUGCCCUUCAGAGGGGGACAACAGUUGGAAACGACUGCUAAUACCGCAUACGAUCUGACCUCGGCAUCGAGGAUAGAUGAAAGGUGGCCUCUACAUGUAAGCCAUCACUGAAGGAGGGGAUUGCGUCUGAUUAGCUAGUUGGAGGGGUAACGGCCCACCAAGGCGAUGAUCAGUAGCCGGUCUGAGAGGAUGAACGGCCACAUUGGGACUGAGACACGGCCCAGACUCCUACGGGAGGCAGCAGUGGGGAAUCUUCCGCAAUGGACGAAAGUCUGACGGAGCAACGCCGCGUGAGUGAUGACGGCCUUCGGGUUGUAAAGCUCUGUUAAUCGGGACGAAAGGCCUUUUUGCGAAUAGUGAGAAGGAUUGACGGUACCGGAAUAGAAAGCCACGGCUAACUACGUG
Molecule: ribosomal RNA, 510 nt
Filed under: uncultured bacterium
Lineage: Bacteria
Description: partial 16S ribosomal RNA
Rfam family: Bacterial small subunit ribosomal RNA
Source: RNAcentral